AGGUUUAUACAUGCAAGUAUCCGCGCACCAGUGUAGAUGCCCUGGACACCUGAAACCACAAGUAGAUAGGAGCGGGUAUCAGGCUCACCACCAACCGUAGCCCAAGACGCCUAGCAAUUGCCACGUCCCCACGGAUUAUCAGCAGUAGUUAAUAUUAAGCAAUGAGUGUAAACUUGACUUAGCCAUAGCAAACUCAGGGUCGGUAAAUCCUGUGCCAGCCACCGCGGUCAUACAGGAGACCCAAAUUAACUUUAUAACGGCGUAAAGAGUGGUCACAUGUUAUCCAAGUAGCUAAGACUAAAAAGCAACUGAGCUGUCAUAAGCCCAAGAUGCUCAUAAGGCCUCUGUCCUCAAAGAAGAUCUUAGAACAACGAUUAAUUGAAUUCCACGAAAGCCAGGGCCCAAACUGGGAUUAGAUACCCCACUAUGCCUGGCCCUAAAUCUUGAUGUUCCACCCUACUCGAACAUCCGCCCGAGAACUACGAGCACAAACGCUUAAAACUCUAAGGACUUGGCGGUGCUCCAAACCCACCUAGAGGAGCCUGUUCUGUAAUCGAUGAUCCACGAUAUUACCUGACCAUUUCUUGCCCAUAACAGCCUAUAUACCGCCGUCGCCAGCUCACCUCCCCUGACAGCUCAACAGUGC
RNAcentral lists this ribosomal RNA (646 nucleotides) under Muscicapa striata (spotted flycatcher). RNAcentral's name for it is "partial 12S ribosomal RNA". It matches the Rfam family "Bacterial small subunit ribosomal RNA", at positions 45 to 1107 of the family's 1533-position model. The record is from RNAcentral. Lineage: Eukaryota; Metazoa; Chordata; Aves; Passeriformes; Muscicapidae.